AUACGUAGGUGGCAAGCGUUGUCCGGAAUUACUGGGUGUAAAGGGCGAGUAGGCGGGUGCGCAAGUCAGAUGUGAAAUCUCAGGGCUCAACCCUGUGACUGCAUUUGAAACUGCGCGUCUUGAGUGAUGGAGAGGCAGGCGGAAUUCCCGGUGUAGCGGUAAAAUGCAUAGAGAUCGGGAGGAACACCAGUGGCGAAGGCGGCCUGCUGGACAUUAACUGACGCUGAGGCGCGAAAGUGUGGGGAGC
Molecule: ribosomal RNA, 247 nt
Filed under: uncultured bacterium
Lineage: Bacteria
Description: partial 16S ribosomal RNA
Rfam family: Bacterial small subunit ribosomal RNA
Source: RNAcentral